This 994-nucleotide long non-coding RNA is filed under the name Equus caballus (horse). RNAcentral's name for it is "lncRNA (ENSECAG00000033365.2)". The record is from RNAcentral. Lineage: Eukaryota; Metazoa; Chordata; Mammalia; Perissodactyla; Equidae.
GUGAGGAAGAUUGGCCCUGAGCUAACAUCUGUUGCCAAUGUUCCUCUCUUUUAUAUGUGGGACGCUGCCACAACAUGGUUUGAUGAGCGGUGUGUAGGUCUGUGCCCAGGAUCCGAACCUGUGAACGCCAGGCUGCCAAAGUGGAGUGUGCGAACUCAACCACUAUGCCACCAGGGUGCCCUGCAUUCUUCUUUUUAAGAGAGUUCUAGUGGACAGCACCGCUGUGAUGUUCUCACCCCAAGUCAAGGAGCAAGAUGCAAGCAAUGGCUCAGGCCUUCUCAGCCAAGCAAGGACCUCCGGUGUGGGUAACGGCAGCAGGAUGCCCGGACCCAGGGCAGGAGGACUAUGGAGGUUCCUUGGGGAGAGCCCUAGCACCCCCUCCCAGGAAAGCAACCCCACCAUAGAGAGUGCGGUUGGCUUCCCUGCCCAGCGACAUCCAUCUACUCACAGCGCCGUCUCCUCCUCCUGGCACCGGGCCGGCUGCUCUGCGAGCCGCGCUGCCCUGAGGUCCUUUUCUACCCUGCGGCAGUUCUUCCAAGCUCUGGCACCAGGAAGGGUCUGUGAUUGGGAGGAGGCCUCUCCCAUGGGCUGAGCCUGAGGCUGCCUGAACCUGCCUCGCCGAGGCCGGAAGUCACAGGAAACUCCGCUGGUAGAUUUCUGCUGCUCUGGAAUGAGUGAUUCUGACAGAUGGAAGCCCGGGACCCCGCUCAGCGCAUCACUCCUCUGGAUUCCUUCUGCGUCUGGGCUUCCUCGAACACACACUCGAGGCUUUCGUUUUUGUUCUGAUUUGAUUUAUUAGUGUGAUUUGAUCCUUUGUUCUGCUUUUGUGCAUUAAAAGUCCUCUCUAUUGUCCUGACUGCUCAAAGUCACGCUGGUACAUGUUUAUCUGUCUAAGGUCUUGUGUAGUUUCAGUAUCUGUUAACUUGCAUCUGCUACAUUACGGGGAAAGUAAUUGCCCAAGUAAUGCUCACACUGGAGGGGGUCCAAAGACUAA